GGGGCUGUAGCUCAGCUGGGAGAGCGAUACGUUCGCAACGUAUAGGUCGGCGGUUCGAUCCCGCUCAGCUCCACCG
This 76-nucleotide transfer RNA is filed under the name Bacteroidota bacterium. Its description in RNAcentral is "Bacteroidetes bacterium (marine metagenome) tRNA-Ala". It matches the Rfam family "tRNA". Rfam says of the family: Transfer RNA (tRNA) molecules are approximately 80 nucleotides in length. Their secondary structure includes four short double-helical elements and three loops (D, anti-codon, and T loops). The record is from RNAcentral. Lineage: Bacteria; Pseudomonadati; Bacteroidota.